RNAcentral lists this ribosomal RNA (327 nucleotides) under uncultured bacterium. Its description in RNAcentral is "bacterial SSU rRNA". It matches the Rfam family "Bacterial small subunit ribosomal RNA", at positions 28 to 355 of the family's 1533-position model. The record is from RNAcentral.
GACGAACGCUGGCGGCGUGCUUAACACAUGCAAGUCGAGCGGUAAGGCCCUUUCGGGGGUACACGAGCGGCGAACGGGUGAGUAACACGUGGGUGACCUGCCCUUAGCUCUGGGAUAAGCCUGGGAAACUGGGUCUAAUACCGGAUAUGACUCCAUGACGCAUGUUGUGGGGUGGAAAGCCUUGUGCGGCUAGGGAUGGGCCUGCGGCCUAUCAGCUUGUUGGUGGGGUGAUGGCCUACCAAGGCGACGACGGGUAGCCGGCCUGAGAGGGCGACCGGCCACACUGGGACUGAGACACGGCCCAGACUCCUACGGGAGGCAGCAGGU